GACGAACGCUGGCGGCGUGCUUAACACAUGCAAGUCGAGCGGUAAGGCCCUUUCGGGGGUACACGAGCGGCGAACGGGUGAGUAACACGUGGGUGACCUGCCCUCAGCUCUGGGAUAAGCCUGGGAAACUGGGUCUAAUACCGGAUAUGACUCCAUGACGCAUGUUGUGGGGUGGAAAGCCUUGUGCGGCUGAGGAUGGGCCCGCGGCCUAUCAGCUUGUUGGUGGGGNGAUGGCCUACCAAGGCGACGACGGGUAGCCGGCCUGAGAGGGCGACCGGCCACACUGGGACUGAGACACGGCCCAGACUCCUACGGGAGGCAGCAGUGGGGGAA
This 333-nucleotide ribosomal RNA is filed under the name uncultured bacterium. RNAcentral's name for it is "bacterial SSU rRNA". It matches the Rfam family "Bacterial small subunit ribosomal RNA", at positions 28 to 362 of the family's 1533-position model. The record is from RNAcentral.